GGGUGGCAGCCCUGCCCACAGAAGGACGUUGGAACUGGAUGAUCUUUAAGGUCCCUUCCAACUCAAAUCAUUCUAUGAUUCUCUGAAACACAGAGAAUAACUACAGGAAUGAGAACAGAGAAAGAAUGGAGAAACCUUUCUAGGGGAGAUUAAAACUUCAGGAUCUGUUUAAACUAGUAAGCAAAACAAACAAAAUAAAAGCCACCACUAUAACCCACAUAAUGUUACUGCUUCAGGAUCCAGGCAAACAGCAGUGAAGCAGAAGAGCUGUUUUAAAACAGGAAUAGAAUAAAUAGAGAUAAGUUUGAAAUGAAAAUAGUCUAAAUAUUCUAAUAUUCGAAGGAAUGACUUUGUGGACAGUAUUCCAACAGUAGAAUGACAGCAACCAUUUUGAAUAAUGUUGUUCAUUAAACUUUGAGCAAUUUCUUGCUGAGUCUCUGAGAUAUUGUGGAUCCUAUCUGGAUCAGUGGCUAAGAAUCUCUCCCAGCACUGUGACAUUACAUAAUUACUCUAUUAAAAGGGAUUGGAAUACUACAGCUAGAAUUAUAAAUUUUUUUUUUCUUUUUUUUGGAAGCUGCUGGAAAAGUACUUGAAAACUGAUUUUUUUUUUUGGUCUGUGAGAUCCACCACACUGUUUUCUGGGGACUCCUGAUGCAGGGACUCAGGUACCCAGUUCUCUGGUCUUAAUGCCUUCUCAGAGAGGGCUCUCUUUUUUUUUUUUUUUUUUUUAAAGUAAUGCAUUUCCAUGGAAACAACAGUAUCUGAGGGAAUUCAAUUAGUCAAAAAUCAAUUUUACAACAACUAUAGAGUUUUGAUGAAAAUGUUUUUUACAUAGUAGUAAUUAACAAUGCAGUAACAUGAAUAAUUCUUGCACACUAUGGCUAGUUAUGAGAAAAACACAGAUUUUAGAGUCCUUCUAUCUAGCUACGAGAAAAACACAGUCUUUGGUAAAGGCUAAAAUUUCCUAUGGCUUUGAUAAUUUGUUUUCUUAGAACUGAGCAAACAUCACACUGAUAUCAGGAACUUCAUCAAAGCUUGCUCUUGCUGUCGCUGGCUUCAGUGGGAGCUAGACUGGACCCCAGGUGAUCCUGUAAGAUCAGUGUUAGCUAGUUUAAAUUAAUUAACUAUCUUCUCCCCUCCAGCAGUAGAUACUAUUAGCAAACUCAUUUCAUUUUCUGAAUUGAAAUUACAGUAAUGGUAAAGCAUUUAACUUUGCCUCUUUUAUAUGACACUAUUUCUGACGUCUAAUAGGAAUACUCUUUUGGCAUUUGCUAUCCUUCCUUUAUUGCAAGUCUGCCUGCCUUUCAUUACAUUUUCAUUAUUCUUAUGAUGACUAUAUUUCAUAUUUAUCACAGUGGUUAAAAUGAUAUCAGUCACAAUCAGCAAUCAUAUACAUUACUGAAAUGUUUAUUGAUCUGUAAGCAACAGGAACAGUAAAUUUAAAAAAUGUUGUUUCCCAAAGGACACGAAUUAAUUCAGGCAUUUCGGAAAUAGGCAAAAUACUGUUACUGUGAUAAGGAUGAUAAUUUAUCAUGCAAUAAAUCUUUUGCUUAACUGGUGAAUAUCGAUUAUGUGCAAUAGCUAUGACUGCAACUGCAAGCAGUAGAACAGUAGAAAAAAAUUGUCUUUUUUAAAGAUCUGUUUUCAUUUUUGUUUGAAAACAGCACUGUUAAAUGACAAUAUUCUUACUGCUGAUGAGUUCCAAUAAUAAAAUGUAAAGUGUAUAAACAGCUUGAUUUACUAGAAGACAAAAGCUCUUACACAUAUUUCCAUUCAAAUUGUUAGUUCUCAGAGUUUAAUGUUAAACCUCUGUGUUUGAAACUAAAGGAAGAACAUCUGGCAGAGAUGAAAUAUAGCUUUAAACCCAUUCUAAAAUGUGUUGACAAAUCAUCAUUGCCAAAACAAAUAGACUUGGUUUCACUUCUUAUCUGCACUGAGAAAUCGUUUCCAGCUCCAGCUGAAAAAGUAUUAGAAAAUAGUCAAUGUCAAUUCUUCUUGGCUAAUGUUACACUAAGAGUCACGCAAUUAUCCUACUGCCUUGCUUUCUUAGGAAAUCCUAAUUAUCCAAGGUCCCUAGAGAACACAUAACCAGCCUAUUAAGGCAUUUUUUAGUUUUCUGUAAACCCUAUCCCAUUAAACAACUGUUAUUUUAACCAGAGAGCUAUUUGGGUGCUCUCGGUUUGUGUGUAUUUGUGAGGAAGGAGGAGGCUAAAGCUGUGACUGACCUAACGUGACUUUGAGCCUCUCUGUAAGCUGGUUUUUCUCAUUUCAAUAUCUGGACUUUUCUUUCUCAAUAGAGAUUCCUGAAGAAAGCUAAGAUAUGAGCUUCCUUGCCACUGGCUGCCUGCAAGGUGGUGGCACUGGGGUGCUCAGUCUGUAGUUCUAAAGAAAGUGGGUAUAAAAACCUUUUUUCCAACCUGAAUUAUUCAAGGAGAAGAACAAGUAGUCCGCUCUAUCAGUGGAGACACAGCUGAGGGGAAGGCAGGGCAGAGAGAAAAUGGACAGUAUUCUGAAGGAGUACAUAGACUAGAGGGAUGUCUUCUGUUAAUACUGCAUCUAUAUAAAAUGGCUGGAAUGAUAACAUACAGGUCAGGUGUCAUCUGCUGAUUUUCACUGCUUAAUGAGGACAUGCUCUCCCAGUUUUUCAUAAGCCACUCAAUAUUUUAAACCAAUCAAAGGGAUAAAGUGAGAGAAUUGAUGUUGGAUACAGAUUUACCUGUGAUGUAAGGCUGCACUAUUGCACUGCACUUUCUGCUUUUUGUUGUUUAAAUGGAAGCAUGCAUUGAUGUGCCACUGGAGUACUGUGCACUUUUAUUCACUGCCUGACAGGUGAAAUGAGGUUUUCAUGUUGUUAUCAUUCCUUGUUUUGGCAAAAAUGUCAGCCUUGGGAGAAAGAGUAGAGCCCGUGGAAGCUAUUUGGGACUCCCUUAUCACAUCGUUCAAUAUCACCAGCUUCACAUUUUUUUGGCUUUUUGAGGUAAGAACACAACAGACUCAUUCGGGACCUUUUCUGGGUCUUCAGUCUUUUAGCUCAGUGUUGUUAACCAUUUUUCAGACACAUUAAAAUUUAAAAAGUUCUGAAAAUAAUGUAAAGCAAGAUGUAGAUUUCCAAUUGUCACGUCCUGUAUUUAGAAAAUUGGUCAUCAAACAAGUUAAUAUCAGCUUUAACACUUCAGCUCAUGUACUCUACAUUUAUGACAUAAAAAAUUCUUACUAGAAGCCUUUUCUCAUGCAUUGGGUUUAGCCUGCAUAACAAACGUUUUCCUUUUGCUCCUGGAUGAGAUGUAUCUCUGAUAAAAAUCACAUGCCCUUACAUUUCUGAGUUGCCCUGAUUCUUAGACGUGAAUUCAACUCCUAACCCUUGUCUUCUUAUUUUCUCUUUUUCUGUUAACUGCUGAGUAUGGCCUUGGUCAAACUGGAUGCUUGAGAGAGUCUUCUCAUGCUGUCAAGAGAAGCAAAUACUACAGGCAAGAAAUAGCAGCAAGGGAGCAGAAGAGAGCAAACUGUCCCUUUGAUGCGGUAAAUGAUGACAGAGAAGAAAUCAGAGAGUGGUUAUAGAUGUGAACAUGGGCCAUAAAAGGCUUCAGCCACUGCCAGAAGCUUACUUCAGGUGGAGGAGAGAACUUGCUGCAAAUCGCCCAAAUCAGCUUUUGGAGGAGGGACUGGGGGACCUGCCUGCAACUGGGAAUCCUUGUGCACCUUCAGAUCUAUGAAGGCUCUUCCCCUGGAGAUGUAUAGGACACCAUCUGUUCAAACCAACUGCCAAAUAUUUUUGUGUGUACGUGUGUGUGUAUAAGCCUAUGUAUAAAGAAAAAAUAUACUAGUAAGAAAGCCUGAGACUUUUCUGUGGUUGUGAUAUCACCUGCGUUGUUACACUACACUGUUUUAUAUAUUCCUGUACCUGAAGCAGAGAUAAGACAUUACUCUUCCUUUUUCAGCUGAGAUAGUAUGAGGGCUGCUCCAAAAGUAAUGCCUCCUAUGUUAUUAUGUUGGCUCACAGCAUCAGAGGUGGAUACUGGUGGUAUGGUAAAAGAGGUUGAACCUCCCAACCAAUACUCCAUUGCCGUGUGACAGGUGGCAGCGGUGGGGCAGUCUGACAGAAUGGUGUCUGAAAUGGAAGAGUGAAGCAAAGGUGUGGAACUGCAUUCCUCCGCGUGAAAAGAAUGGCACCCACUGACAUUAAUUGACACUUGCUGAAUGUUUACAAAGACCAAACAAUGGAUGUGUGUGAUGCAUUUCAGCAGUGGUGACAGUGACUUGAAAGACAAGCCACAUUCUAGCCAGUUACACACAGCUGUCACACUACAAAAUAAAGAGGGUCUUGAUCAGCUCAUCUGGAUGAAUUAGCAGGUUAUGACAGGAAACUGUGUACAGAGUUGAAUAUCAGCUUAAAUGUAAAAGCACUGCAAACAAUGGUGGCAACACCGGAAUGUUGCGGUUUGUGCCAGGUAGGUCCCAUGAUUUCUCACACAGGAACAGAAAGAAAACCAUGUGUAAGUCUGUUGGUAUAUUGAACAAAAAUGAGGCUGAAGGUGAUGGUUUCCUUGACUGCAUCAUUACCAGUCACAAGAUGUGGUGUCUCCACUUUGAGCCGGAGUCAAAACAGCAGUCCAUGGAGUGGCAACAUGUGAAUUCCCCACUGAAGAAAAAGUUCAAGAUGCAGCUUUCAACGGGUAAAGCGAUGUGCACAGUCUUUUGGGACAGGAAAUGGGUGAUCCUGGAUUCCUUGGAACCCAGACAAACCAUUAACUCUGAUGGUUACAUUAUGAUGCUGACUAAGAUGAAGGCUUGAACUUCCAGAGUCAGGCCAGAGAAGAAGACAACCUUUCUUUUGGCUGGACUGUCCUACCACACCCACUGUAUAGUUUGGAUUUGGCUUCUUCUGAUUUCCAUCUGUUUGGGCCAAUGAAAGAUGGACUGCAUGGGCAACAAUGCCAUCGUAGCAACUGUGAAACAGUGGGUCAUCAUCACCGGUGCUGAUUUUCACGAGCAUUAUUGACUGACCUACUUAUUUUGAAUGUCAGCUAGCUUUAUUUUCCUCUCUAUAAAUAUGCAGAGAUUUUUUUUAGUAUUAUUAGAGGAAGCACUUAAUUCUACUGGAGGGUGCUUUAAUAUUAUCAUUACAAGGAGAUUUUGUGGAGAUGUGAUUGCUUUGAGUAUCUUGACAGCUCAGAUCUUCAGAUGGCUGUGGUAAGCUGGUUUUCCUUUUUGAUGUACACCAUUACAGUUAGUCAUGCCACUGCUAACUUCAGGUUAAUCUGCUGUAACAUGGCCUGUACUAGACUUUUCUGUACAGGUAGACAGUUCAGAGUCUUUUGCUGAUGUACAGCACAAUGUACUGCUUGUUAAAUUGAUACAAGUGGAUGACCUCUGUGCUUCAAUUUCUUUAACAGCUUCCUGUUCCUUCAGAGACAUCAUUAAAAGCAGGGAUGACUUUCUGUAAAGGCCUAAAUAUGACAGCACUGGCCUCAUUUUCAGGCACACUACUCAGUGAGUAAAUUCUAUUUGUCUUCAGCAUUAGAGAGCAUUUUACAGGAGAUCAUUGAUGCAGAGUCCUAUAAUAAACUAAUUAUAUUAAUGUUGGAGAUGCUAGAGUAUAAGUGAUGAUACAAAAAUAAAUUUGUCAUGACAGAGAGAUAUUUUCAAGUGUGUUUCAUAUUAUUCAAUAAAUCUACCACUCUUGAGGUUUGUGGGAGUUUUACAAUGGAUGCAAUUUGAAGAAUUUCAAUAUUGCUGAAUGACUUGAAAAAAAAAAAAAACACUCCAGAAAUGAAACUAUUUAAAUGUAGAGAUUUUUGGCUUAAUGCUGAAAAGCAGUUUCAGCUAUGUCUCCUAAACAAAACAUGUCUUCCUGAAGAAGAUAACAGGUCUCAAACCGCACAUCCAAGUUGGUGAGCUUGUACAAUCAGCUUGUCAUGCAAAUGACAAUAUGUAUGGAUAAAAUAUGUCAAAGCUAAUCAUAUUCCAGUUAGCAUACUCAUUUACUUCUCAUCAUCUAUGGUAUUUGUUUUCUUGUUGGAUUUCAUUUUAGUCGUGAAAUUACGUUCUACAAUUUUCUCAUGUACAAUGCUUUUUUGCUUAUUUGAAGAGUGGAAAAGUAAGUGUAAAUAUAAACUUUUUGUUAUGAUUUCUUUAAAAUAUUAGUCCUACUUGGCACUUACAUAGAAUUCUACAUAAACAAACUAUUGAAUUUUUAUACUGUCCUCAUUAAAAAAAGCAAUUACAUAUUGCUACCCUAAUUUUACAAAUGAAAAGCUGAGUUAGAGAGGUUAAAUUGUGUCCCCAAGGCAUCAGAAAAAUUUGAAUUGGCAGGACUAUUUUGGGAUCCAACCAGACUAUAACUGCUGUUUCUCUUUUACGAAACUAAUGUCUCUUAAGAAAAGAAACUGAACAUUUCUUUGUAUUUCAAUAUUUCAAUAAACAGUUUUUACAGGAAAAUCUGCAAAGACAUAUUCCAGUAAGCCAGAAGAUACAAUAGAUGCAGGUAUGUGUAUUCCCAUCUUCUAUCUCACUACCUAGAGGAUAAAUCCAAUCAGGACUUAGGACUAGGUUUAGGGAGAGAAAGUUAUCCUUUCUGAAAACAUUUUCUUGAAAUCUAUAAGCUUUGUGAUUAGACAAAUGAAUUCCAGCAACAUCACUAUUGAGAAGCAACAAAAGAAUGUGGUGUCAUGCACAAUUUCAUGGUUAUUCGAGGCACUGAAUGUGCACAGUUUGGUGUUGUAUGUGACUACAAUUUUAACAUAUAGGGUGGUUAUACAUACUUUACCAAGCCAAACCAGAAGCUAGCUCGGUAUAUGUUACUAGAGCCCAGGCAGUGCUGUACAAAUCAUGGCUAGAGAUAGUGCUUUUAACUCACUCAGAAUCUGGACAAAACAAGCAUGUGUUGGCAUGGCAAAGCAACACAGAAAUACUCCCCGAAGAUUCCCAAAUACACCCCAAAUAAGUUUGGUUUUGUUCAACAGCCUGUAUUAUAAGUUUGCAACCAGUGUGAGUACCAUGAUGAGUACCAUCACACUGGUUUGUUUAUUCUCAAAUCUGCCAGUGCUUUGGUAUAGCUCUUGCUUCUCUAAGCUCUGAAAAAAGCUUGUAGUAAACAAUUCUCCCUGGAGUGAGAACAGUUGAACUCAAACUGGGGACCAGAUUCUUCUCUGCUGUGUUCCAUUGUGGAGUAAGUAGAGCAGGACAAAGCAGAUGUGCAGACCAAGCUGAAGCUGUGGUCUUGCAAGUAGUGUGCAGGAAUGUUUUCUUACUUUUACUAUAUUACUCAGAGGAAGUGUCUCACUAGACACCGUGAGAAGGUCAAUUACCUCUUUUGUCUCUAUGCUAAAUCCCUUUUUGGCCUAAAUAUAUUGUCAUGUUGUUUUGACAUUUAUCCGUAAAGAGAGUGAUGAAGGCACAACAAUAGAAAAUGAAGAUCCAGGGUUUCAAUUCAAGACUUUUCUUUGACUGUUGGAGCUCAGGUCAAAUGCACAGACUUUUACUGCCAGGCACAUCCCAUCUGACCUCUAGAUUCCUCAUCCAGAAGAGUGGUGGUCUCCCACAGACAUGCUGUUGUUUUAAGUUAGUCCAUCAAUAUCUCUCAUGAAGUGCAGAGCACUUCAGUUGGCAAUAGACACUUGACACUUUGUGGUCAAUGAAGUUAAAUCCAGUUGGUGGCCAGUCAUGAGUGGUGUCCCCCAGGGCUCGGUACUGGGGCCACUCCUAUUUAACAUCUUCAUCAAUGAUCUUGAUGAGGGGAUUCAGUGCACCCUCAGUAAGUUUGCAGACAACACCAAGUUGGGAGGGAGUGUUGAUCUGCCAGAGGGUAGAAAGGCUUUUCAGAAGGACCUGGGUAGACUGGAAUGAUAGGCCAAAGUAAACCGUAUGAGUUUCAAUAGGGCCAAGUAUCGGGUCCUGCAUUUUGGUCACAACAACCCCAGUGUCAACG
Molecule: long non-coding RNA, 7927 nt
Organism: Numida meleagris (helmeted guineafowl)
Lineage: Eukaryota; Metazoa; Chordata; Aves; Galliformes; Numididae
Exons: 4
Source: RefSeq, a predicted model, not a curated record